UACGGGGGGGGCAAGCGUUGUUCGGAAUUACUGGGCGUAAAGGGCUCGUAGGCGGCCAACUAAGUCGGAUGUGAAAUCCCCAGGCUUAACCUGGGAACUGCAUCCGAUACUGGAUGGCUUGAAUCCGGGAGAGGGAUGCAGAAUUCCAGGUGUAGCGGUGAAAUGCGCAGAUAUCAGGAGGAACACCAAUGGCGAAGGCAGCUCGCUGGGACGUGACUGACGCUGAGACGCGAAAGCGUGGGGAGCAAACAGG
RNAcentral lists this ribosomal RNA (253 nucleotides) under uncultured bacterium. Its description in RNAcentral is "partial 16S ribosomal RNA". It matches the Rfam family "Bacterial small subunit ribosomal RNA", at positions 524 to 776 of the family's 1533-position model. The record is from RNAcentral.